AGAGUUUGAUCCUGGCUCAGAAUCAACGCUGGCGGCGUGCCUAACACAUGCAAGUCGAACGAGAAAGUGGAGCAAUCCAUGAGUAAAGUGGCGCACGGGUGAGUAACACGUGACUAACCUACCCUUGAGUGGGGGGAUAACUGAGGGAAACCUUAGCUAAUACCGCAUAACACCUACGGGUCAAAGGAGCAAUUCGCUCGAGGAGGGGGUCGCGGCCGAUUAGUUAGUUGGCGGGGUAACGGCCCACCAAGACGAUGAUCGGUAUCCGGCCUGAGAGGGCGCACGGACACACUGGAACUGAAACACGGUCCAGACUCCUACGGGAGGCAGCAGUGGGGAAUUUUGCGCAAUGGGGGAAACCCUGACGCAGCAACGCCGCGUGGAGGAUGAAGUCCUUCGGGACGUAAACUCCUUUCGAUCGGGACGAUUAUGACGGUACCGGAAGAAGAAGCCCCGGCUAACUUCGUGCCAGCAGCCGCGGUAAUACGAGGGGGGCGAGCGUUGUUCGGAAUUAUUGGGCGUAAAGGGUGCGUAGGCGGUUUGGUAAGUCUUAUGUGAAAUCUAUGGGCUCAACUCAUAGACUGCAUGAGAAACUGCCGGGCUCGAGUGUGGGAGAGGUGAGUGGAAUUUCCGGUGUAGCGGUGAAAUGCGUAGAUAUCGGAAGGAACACCUGUGGCGAAAGCGGCUCACUGGACCACAACUGACGCUGAUGCACGAAAGCUAGGGGAGCAAACAGGAUUAGAUACCCUAGUAGUCC
RNAcentral lists this ribosomal RNA (757 nucleotides) under uncultured bacterium. RNAcentral describes it as "bacterial SSU rRNA". It matches the Rfam family "Bacterial small subunit ribosomal RNA", at positions 8 to 796 of the family's 1533-position model. The record is from RNAcentral.